CCUACGGGUGGCUGCAGUGGGGGAUAUUGCACAAUGGGGGGAACCCUGAUGCAGCGACGCCGCGUGGGUGAAGAAGCGCUUCGGCGCGUAAAGCCCUGUCAGCAGGGAAGAAAAUGACGGUACCUGAACAAGAAGCCCCGGCUAACUACGUGCCAGCAGCCGCGGUAAUACGUAGGGGGCAAGCGUUAUACGGAUGUACUGGGUGUAAAGGGGGCGCAGACGGCGGGGCAAGCCAGGUGUGAAAGCCCGGGGCUCAACCCCGGGACUGCUCUUGAAACUGCGAGGCUGGAGUGCAGGAGAGGCAGGGGGAAUUCCAGGUGGAGCGGUGAAAUGCGGAGAUAUCAGGAGGAACACCGGUGGCGAAGGCGGCCUGCUGGACUGUAACUGACGUUGAGGCCCGAAAGCGUGGGGAGCAAACAGGAUUAGAUACCCUAGUAGUC
RNAcentral lists this ribosomal RNA (440 nucleotides) under uncultured bacterium. RNAcentral describes it as "partial 16S ribosomal RNA". It matches the Rfam family "Bacterial small subunit ribosomal RNA", at positions 338 to 795 of the family's 1533-position model. The record is from RNAcentral.